Molecule: ribosomal RNA, 431 nt
Filed under: uncultured bacterium
Lineage: Bacteria
Description: bacterial SSU rRNA
Rfam family: Bacterial small subunit ribosomal RNA
Source: RNAcentral
GGACCCGCACAAGUAGUGGAGCAUGUGGUUUAAUUCGAAGAUACGCGCAGAACCUUACCAACACUUGACAUGUUCGUCGCGACUUUAAGAGAUUAAAGUUUUCGGUUCGGCCGGACGAAACACAGGUGCUGCAUGGCUGUCGUCAGCUCGUGUCGUGAGAUGUUGGGUUAAGUCCCGCAACGAGCGCAACCCUCACUUUUAGUUGCCAUCAUUUAGUUGGGCACUCUGAAAGAACUGCCAGUGAUAAGCUGGAGGAAGGUGGGGAUGACGUCAAGUCCUCAUGGCCCUUACGUGUUGGGCUACACACGUGCUACAAUGGUAUCUACAACAGGAAGCAAAACCGCGAGGUUAAGCAAAUCCCAAUAAACCGUGGCUCAGUUCAGAUCGUAGGCUGCAACUCGCCUACGUGAAGGCGGAAUCGCUAGUAAUCG